UCUCCACCUCUUCUGAUUAGCUUAGGUAACCAUGACAUACUGCUAGGUGUCACUCAUUUUUUGUGGAAGCCCUAAACGUGUAUAAUCACUAAAGGGAGAAUUGAAAGUAAGUUUCAAUUCACAAUCAAUUUGAAAGAGUUCUAAUCGCCCACUGCCUUGCUAAAAGGAACCUAAUGGAUCGUACACCGUGUAAGGUAGAGAUUGAAGAAACAAUGGAGAUGAGUAAGGAUAAUUAAAUGGUUUAAUUAUUCAUGGCUAGGAUUAAUUAAUAUGUUAAUUAAUCAAACGAAUAAGUUUGUUAUAGACCUCGGGUUAGUUUUGGGCCGCAAGGCCCAAUGGGAUUUGAAUGUCAAGCCCAUUAACUCAAGUUGUAUGACAACUUGAAACCACAAAGGGCUUGAAAGCCCAAAGAACGCUUAAUGGCUGGCCAUAUAGAGAGGGGUAGUGAACUUGGCUGAAUUUCAAGUUUUCCACUCCAUUGUGAGGUGGUAUAAAGGCAACUUUAUAGCCAUUUCAUCCUUAGGGUUUCUUUUGGAGAAAAGAUGAGAACACAAGCUCCCUUUUCUCUCUAAGAGGCUGGCCACCCUAGAGGAUUUUAGCUAGCAAUCUUACUUCCUCUAGGUCACUCAUCUCUUCUUCAAGUCCUACCUUGGUGUGGAGACUUAGAGGUUCUCAACUUUGGAAACUUGGAGAAUCCUUUCAACCAUCCUCAUCCAAGAAAUCCAUGGAGCUAAGAAGCAAGGAAUGAAGGCCUCUCCUCGGGUGAUUAGCCUUUGCUUAUGCAAAGAGGAAUCAACAAAGGUAUAAAAUUUCUCAACUCAAUUUGUUCUUGAGUUGAGUCUUGGUUCACAUAACUACUAGGCUUUGAAUUUCAUGGGUAAUGUUUUGUUUGAGUGCAUACAAGCAUGAUUCCGCCUUUAAUUCUUAAUUGCAUGCCAAGAUGUUGCUCAAAUGAACAUGUUUUUUACAAAAUUUCCUUCAAGUGGUAUCAAGAGCCUAGGUCUAGUAGUUGGUGAAUCCUCUUGGGUUUUGUAUUUUCAUAGUUUAUGAUUUGAAUGUUGUAAUUGUUACAAGCUUUAUUCUUGCUUCUUUGAAUGUAAAUUUUGUUAGAAAAUUUGUCAUCUCAAAUGUUGUAGAUGUAGUUCAUAUGAGCAUGAAUUUUGGAGCUAAAAUUUGGUGCCAUGUUUUUGGGGAAAUUCGGCCAAAUCCAAAGGGUGGAUUUUUGGGUUCAUGUUUGUCUUGUUAAAAGUAUUUUUAAGUGACAUUAGGAACCCCUAAGUACCCUAGUAUGGUAAUAUAUUUUUUUCCCUUAAGUUUGAGAGUUUUCGGGGUGUCUUUGGGUGAAAAAUGUGCAUGGAGCUCUUAUGGGUUUUCAUGGAUGUUCUUCAUUGUUCUUGUUAUGUUUUUGGCAAGAACAAAAAGGUUGGGUAUUUUGAUUCAAAGUUUUUGGUUGUUUACAUAAAGUUUUUGUUAAUGAUGGACAGUUUGAAUUUUCAAUCAAUACCCAUACCUUUUUCAAACCAUACCAAUCACUUACACCUUUUCCUUAUUUCAAGGAACCAUGUUUUAUGGAAAUCACUUUUUCAAAUCUACCCAUCACCUUUCACUUUUGUUGAAAAAUUCAAAAGUUUUAUGACACCUUCUCUCAUCCAAAACCGGCCACCCUAUUAAAUAGGGUACUUUUUGGGCUUUUAUGCAAUUACAUAAAGUUUUGAUACUUUUGUGUAUUUGUAUUUUGACCCGAAAGUUUAAAUUUUUACGUAAACGCCCAAAAUCACUAAAGGACAAAAUGUUUGCUCCUUUAAUGAAGUUUUUUUAUUUUGAUGAAAUUUUUGGGUUCUAGUUGUAAUUACAUGAAGUAGUGGACUUUUGUGUUUUUACAAAGUGACCUCAAAAGUUUGUGUUUUGCAAUAUAGCUCAAUAAUUGAGGUUAUUGUUUUUCGGCCCAAAUUAGUUGAGAACAAAAUAGUUUUGUAUCUUUAAAUGAGAAUUGGAUUUUCAUUUCAUUUAGCUCCAUUUAAAUCAAUUCUAUGGAUACAAAAACCAAAUGAAAAUGUUGCAUUCAAGUUUAAUUAGUUAAACCGUUAAUUAAUUAAAGAAAGGGUGAUUAUGAACCUAAGCCUAUGAUAAUUGAGCUAUGUGAAAGGCCGUCUCAAAUUUGUUUUAACCAUGGGAAUAUGUAGAUUAGAUUUUGGUUGUAAUUUGAUGUGAUCAAAUAUUGUAAAAGAGCAUAAGCUCUUCUUUACUUUAAAGUAAUUUGUUUUGAUCAAAUGUUGUAAAAGAGCAUAAGCUCUUCUUUACUUUGAAGUACUUCUUUCUUGCUUUAUUUGAUAUGCAUGAAAAUCAAGUAGAGGGUCCAACGCCCAAUAAGAAAACACGCCUUAAUGUGAGUAAACGUGUAACUAAAAUCAAUCACCAUCCCUAGAUCGAGAUUCAACACUAGGCUCGUGUUGGUUCGAAUCAAAGGUUCAUAGUCAUCCUAAGGCCCUAAGGCAACCAUAUAGUCCAUCAAUGAAUGCAAACCUUAUGUUAGUAGUACCAUAUACUCUUACUUUAAAAAACAUUUUACAAGCAUAGUGGGAGUAUCAUAUACAACUAAAUCAAUCACAUGGACCAAUAAUUGUAAUAGGACCAAAUUGUUUUCAUAAGAUUAAAAUGCAUGCUUAUAUGUGAUGAGACCUAAAACCCUUAACCAAACCAUUAUUAAGUUGAUAAGCGUGAGAGUGCUUUGAACACUCUUUCGUGGCCUUCCACCGUGAUAGGCUCCAAUCGUUUGUGACUCGUACACCGACUUCACCCUAUCAUGGGGGAGUACAAAGUGCAUGCUUACACUCAGGAGGAGUUCUAUAUGCAUACAUGAUGUUGUGAAGGUAGGCAAUGAGAAUGAUCAACAUCAUAUUAUUGUGAGGUUGUUCUUGAACCCCUACUCGAACUUGCAUGGUGGGAAUGACUUAAUUAAGUGCAAUGGAACCAACAUCAUAUCAUUGUGAGGCUUCAUUCUCUAGAGGCCAAAUAAGAUGGGUACUUGCAAGAGAUGCAAAUGAGUAAGCGUACUCUCUCAUUAUUAUUGAUGCUAGCCAACAUCAUAUCAUUGUGAGGUGGGCUUGGUAAUGAUGAGUCUCCCAUACCCUACUAAGAGUUUCCUCCAAAACUCUCGAAUUCCGAUGAGGGAUAUGGAAUUUACAAAAAAAAAAUUGUGGGUAGUGCUAUUUGAUUUAAAGACCCGGAUCAAAUGACUUAAAAUCAAUCAAUUUAUAUUCGUUAUUUAUUUAUUUACCAAUAUAUUUACAAACAAAACUUGACAAAGAAAAAGCCGUAAGCUUUAGUUUCCGGACUUGGUACUACAAUCCCAUAGAUUGUCUUUAAUGGCUUGUAUAUGUACCUAAGUAGUCUCAUCCUCGCAAUCUUCCUAUUGAUAAUGUAUCAUUGGAAGAACAUGUUAGAUAAGUCUAUCAUAAAGAGGACAACACUUUUAAUGUCAUAAUUCUUCAAUUACAAAUUAUUGUAUGAAGAAGUAAGAGUUGCUUUGAACAACUCUUAGUUAACGCAAAUAUUAGUGCUUGUUUCUUUGUUACAUGAACAAGGAACUUGAGAAGUAAGCACAAGGGAAUUGACACUUUAUGUGCCAUGAUUCUUCACUUACAAAUUGUUGUAUGAAGAAAUGAGAGUUGCCUUGAACAACUCUUGAAAGUUCGUAAUUAUGUUUAGAACAUAAUGGUUGGUAGACAAAAAUAGUCCAUCAACAUGGACUUAUGAUGAUUUUGAAUCAUUGAGUGUUGAAGUGUUAAACCACUUCAUGAGACAGAAACUAGGCAAGGACUUCACUUUUGUGUCCCUAUCCAAAUGGUUCACUAAACUAUAUAGUGAACAAUAACCACACGCUCUCCAAAUUGUUUGAUGUGUAUAACACAAUUGAAAUAAGUUUCAAGAGACAUAGUGGGAGUUUAGGGACCAUGACUAUUGUAGUCAAUGGAGAAGUCAAAUGAAGAAGGCGAAAUAACUCCAAGGGAACAAACUUUCUUUAUGAAAGGAUGGACAUUGGAAGGGGGUAUUUGCAAGAAAUGUCUUGCAAGUGUCAAGAACACACCUUUCAAAGGUGUUGUAAAUUGUUCUUGAAUAGUUCAAAACAGUCGGUUCUUCUACUUGAAUGCUUGAUUCCGUAUUAGUAACUAUGUUUUACAAUCGUUGUAAAAGUGUGGCUAAUAAGAAGUAGAAGAUUAAUGAGAGAAGAGAAAGUACUUCACAUUCGGAACGUGAAUCAAAUGUAGAUCUUUGCGAAAGCAGGUAGUACUUACUUCCUCAUAUGAACUACCAAAGAAAAUGGAAAAACAAAGAUUGUCUUUACAUUCCAAUUGGAAUAAAUGAACAUAGUUCCGUAUGAGAAAUGGAUGAAUGUUUUGUUUGACAAAACAUUGUUCUUUAUUAAUGAAGGAUUAGAUUAUUGUAAUCUAAUUGAUUAUCUCUAUAGUAGAGAUGAUAUGGUAGUGUUAACUGUUUAGAGUAUAACGAUGCUUAAAACCAAAAGGUUGCAAGGUAGUGACUAAUCCCAACUGAGUUGUGAUACCUCUAAAACAUAAAUUAUGACUUGGUCAUAGAUGGAUGCUUUGGAUCGUUGGAUCCGGAUCCAAUGCCUUCUUGUUAAAAUUGUAUAGAGGCAAAAUGUUUGAAUCUUUAUUCUUUUGGAAAGGAAGAAAGAAUCACAAAGUUGUUGAGGUUAAUUCACUUAGAUGUUAGUGGCACUUGUCCACAACAUAAUACUACUCAUGUUGUAUGACAUUCACCGAAGAUCGCUCUCGGUUGGACUAUCGUUUAUUUUAAAUAAACACAAGUCCGAAUACUUUGCAAAAGGUUUCAAAGAAUUCAAGAAUGUAAGUUGAUGAGUAAGACGUCUAAAGUAUUUACCUCCUUAGAUUUGAUCCAAGGAAAGGUAACACUUUAGAAUAGUUUCCUUGAAAGAUAUCAAGGAAAGAAGCAUCAUAAGAUAAUGGAUUUCUCCAUUAGGAGAAGAACGAACUUGAAUAAGAUUUAGUUUGUUGGAUGUUAUCAAUUACCCAUAUAUAGGAUAUAUACUUCUAAGACAAUAUGAUUGUCAAUUAGAAGAUCUUCCAAAAUUUUCAUGACUCCAUAGGAUGUAGUUGGAAAGAAAGUUAAGUCUUAAUCGUGUUAAGAUUUGGGGAUGUGUGCUAAUAAGCAAUAUUUGUUUGAGAAUUAUCUUGUGAUAUCCUAAAAUUAACCUUUGGAUAUCACUUCUAUAAACCAACUAACAAAUGUUGUUUUGUUGGGUAGUUCAUUAUAAUCCUACAAUAUGAUUUGCCUAAGCGCAAAUGAGCGAGAGAUAGAACUCAAAGAAUGGGUUCUUUGAGAGACAAGAUGGUAAUCAACAAAUAUAACAACCUAGUUCCUACACCGCAAGCUCCAAGGUAGUCGAGACGGAUUUAUAAACCAUCUCAGUUGAAUGGUUUGAACUUUAUGACUAUGUCAUAGAGUUACAUCUCUUAAUUCGAAAGAAAUAAGAAUGAAAAUCCUUAUGACUACAUUGAGUGUACACACGACAUAUACUCAAGGAAAUGGGAAGGUACCAUUUGACCCGAAAUAGUGAAACCUUUAAUAGCUAAUUGGUACCUUAAGGUGACUACAAUCAAAGAGAUUGGUUGACUUGGAAGAAACCAUCUUUGACGUAGUCUUGGUUUCAAUUAAUUCAAAGAUUGCUAGCUACAACUAAAUGGUGAUUCAAUGUUUGGACAUAAUAUGGGUUUCCAAAACCAUUAUUAAGAUAGUCUUGAUAAUAUAUGUCUAAAACUAUGAAUCACAAGACAUGUAAGUUGUAGAGAUCCAUCCAUCAUGAAUCUUAGCAAGCUUGUGGGAGCUAUAAGCGUCUUAUGAGAGAAAGAUCAAAUCGUUUGAUUUCUCAUAAAGAUGUAAAUGAAUCUUUUGUUUACUAGGUUUACAAAAGAUUAGUGGGAGUUAAUCAUGUUCCUAAAUUUGAAUAUUAUAUAUAUAUACACACACACACACACACACACACACACACAUAUAUGAUAUAUUAAUUUUGGAAAUGAAAAGAAAACUUCUUCGUUAAAGUUAUGACUUUAAACAUUCUAUAACGAUAGAAUGUAUAUGGGAGACAUAGUCUAUAAACAUGGGAUAGAAAUCUAUAAUGAUUGAUUUCAGGAUAUAAUUGGAUUAUAUCAAGCCCUAAUGAUAGACAAAAGAUGCUAGGAAGUUUCUCAUAUGAUGAUAAACUUUAAUCAGAAGAACAGCUCUAGUGAGACUAGGAGGUAACUUUUCUCAAAGGGAACGUACCCUUUUGACUCCUAAAGAAACAUAAUGCGCAAAUAUAAUCCUUUAAGUAUACGCAGAAAAGUGAUUUAUGUAAUUCAUAUUGUAUGAAAAACGUUGAUAUGAGUUGUACCAAGAUCGGUACAAGAUGAUAUCAAUGCAAGCCGAAGAUCAUAACUAUGGCAACUGUCAAAUGAAUCCCUUAAGUAUUUGAGAAAUAAUAAAGGACGGAUUCCUCAAGAAUGAGGAAGAAUUAGAGUAACGUAAUGGAAGCGUAAAUGUAUUAAAUUUUGAAUCUAAUCCAUCAUUGGAUGUUUCUUCAUUAUGAAUGAAGAGAUAAUCAGAUAUCUCUUUAUUAUGACUAAAGAGAUAUAUGGAUGGAAACAUUAAAAGUAAUGACUUUAGUGUGUUCCAUUGUGAAUGCAAAAUAUAUUGCCACAUAGAAGCUUACAACAAUGUUGUUUGGAUGAGAAAGUUCAUUCAUGAACUCUCUAUUCGGUUCCAACCAGAAAGUGUCUCUAGUGUACUGACACUACGACACUAAUGGGGCGAUAGCUCAAGCUAGGGAAUCAAGGUCUCAUCAUGAUCUGAGCUCAAAUGAGAGACUAAACCACAUGAUUAAUAAUCAUGUAUAAUGGUGACGUCUUUAUUCUCAAGGUUGCUUCUAUGGAUAACAUAUAGAUAUCCAUUGUCUAGGCCUACUACUCAGCCAUUUUUGAAAAGACUACAGAAGAGGUAUCAUCAUUGAUGACCAAGCUGAUUGGCUUUAGUGCAAGUGGGAUAUUGUUGGAAAUGUGCCCUAAAACUAAUCAUAUGAUGAUACUUUACGGACAUUUCAUAUAGUUUAAUUUAAAGGGCAAAGAUUAUUGUUUGAAGCCGUCUCAUAUAAAUGUUAUACUCUUAAAUGAUAAGUCCAAGGAACAUGUAAUUGAGAAUGCGAUCUAAAUAAGUUAGAUUCAUGAGACCAUUCUCUUUCGUACACAUAUCCUAAACGUUCCUGUUCAUAAGAUUGCCAAUUGGGCAUUGACCAUCCGUUAAGAUCAGUACGUGCUAUGUCUUCUCUUAGGGAGAGUGACUGGUCUCGAGUCAUUGGUGUGACUGACACCAAGACAAGUACGUAGGUGCUCAAUAGAGAAUGAGUUCACUGAAUGCGAUCAACAAGGAGUUCUCAUACUCAUGUCACAUGAGAACUCAUGGUUGGGAUAAUGCAAAGUAGUCCUUUGACCUGAGGCAUCAUAGUUGUCUUGUGGUUAGGUCCUUGAUCUUUGACUAUGUCAAAGUCACUCCAUCCGAGGGUGUCCACGACAUAAUUGGGGUUAAGCCACUUAGCCAUGGAGGCAAGUGAAUGCGCAACAAGGGAUCUCUAACCUUCAAACUGUUUGAGGGAGAAUACUCUAUGAUAUGAUUAAGAAUCUCUGGCCAGAGUAUGAAUGAGAUUUAGGAAGUCGUUCCAAAUCACAUUCAAGGUAAUCAUAUAAGUAAAUGAAUCAAAUUGGAUAGUAGACAUGAAUAAACUAUCAAACCAAACAAUGUGGUCAAGAGUAUUGUAUUAGAGAGAAAGACCGUAUUGCAUUUGUAAUCCUAAACUGAAUAGGUUCUCCACCUCUUCUAAUUAGCUUGGGUAACCAUGACAUACUGCUAGGUGUCACUCAUGGUUUGUGGAAGCCCUAAAUGUGUAUAAUCACUAAAGGGAGAAUUGAAAGUAAGUUUCAAUUCACACUCGAUUUGAAAGAGUUCUAAUCGCCCACUGCCUUGCUAAAAGGAACCUAAUGGAUCACACACCGUGUAAGGUAGAGAUUGAAGAAACAACAGAGAUGAGUAAGGAUAAUUAAAUGGUUUAAUUAUUUAUGGCUAGGAUUAAUUAAUAUGUUAAUUAAUCAAACGAAUAAGUUCGUUAUAGACCUCGGGUUAGUUUUGGGCCGCAAGGCCCAAUGGGAUUUGAAUGUCAAGCCCAUUAACUCAAGUUGUAUGACAACUUGAAACAACAAAGGGCUUGAAAGCCCAAUGAACCCUUAAUGGCCGGCCAUAUAGAGAGGGGUAGUGAACUUGGCUUAAUUGCAAGUUUGCCACUCCAUUGUAAGGUGGUAUAAAGGCAACUUUAUAGCCAUUUCAUCCUUAGCGUUUCUUUUGGAGAAAAGAUGAGAACACAAGCUCCCUUUUUUCUCUAAGAGGCCGGCCACCCUAGAGGAUUUUAGCUAGCAAUCUUACUUCCUCUAGGUCACUCAUCUCUUCUU
RNAcentral lists this long non-coding RNA (8513 nucleotides) under Malus domestica (apple). RNAcentral describes it as "long non-coding RNA (MDOM_LNC013359)". Lineage: Eukaryota; Viridiplantae; Streptophyta; Magnoliopsida; Rosales; Rosaceae. The record is from RNAcentral.